Molecule: long non-coding RNA, 1526 nt
Organism: Piliocolobus tephrosceles (Ugandan red Colobus)
Lineage: Eukaryota; Metazoa; Chordata; Mammalia; Primates; Cercopithecidae
Exons: 4
Source: RefSeq, a predicted model, not a curated record
AAACACCACUGUGCACUAUGCCCAACUGAUAGAGGAUGCAACUUACAGUCAGGCAGCAAAGCCCCGACCCAGGCGCCCUGACUCCUAGUCUAGCGCUUCUUGGAGUCUCUGUGGCCCUGCAGUCACUGGGAUCCAGUGUGGUGAUAUCUGAGUUGGUCUUCAAGGAAGAGUGAGAGCUGGCCAGGUGAAGGAAGGGAAGAGGAGAGAGAAACUCCAAGGCGGCCUAUGUCUGCACUAAAUGAAAGCACUUUGGGAGGCUGAGGUGGACGGAUCACCCGAGGUCAGGAGUUCCAGACCAGCCUGGCCAACAUGGGAAGGAACAAAUUACAAGAAGAGGAGGGGAAUCUGCUCCCUCCCUGGCAUUGAACCCACUGGCUGUCCACAGGACCCCCUCCAGCCUCGACUUCCCUCAGGAGGCCUGCAUACAUCCAAUAAGAUGACUUAAGCUGGCAAAGUAGCUUAUGGACACACAGAACCUGAACCGAGGCUGAAUUUGGGUGAGAAAAAUGAAGCAUGCAGAAAUUCAAAUGCUGUCUAGGAUCACUAGCUAGAACAUGGCGGAGCCAGGAUCUAAUGCUGCUGUCUGCCUCCGGAGCCGCCCUUUACCUGCUCUGCCUCCCAGGCCACGUCCCCGCCAAGGUAGCCAGCUGGGACUUCCCUCUAUCUCUGGCUAAGCUACUUGUUGGAAAAGAAAGCAUCUUUUAACCUAGAGGUGCCCCCUUUCAUCCCCAACCCUGCCCUGUGGCAACACAGAGUGAGGCUGAUGGGUCUCCACAGAGGGGCUUCAGAUGCCUGAUGGUCGCGGUAGCCCCCUGAGCCUGCCUUCAUCCGGUCUAAAUGUCCUCUGUUGCUUUGGUUUGCCUCAGGCCCAAAGACAUCUGGUUUUGGCCACUGCAGCCAGCCAGUGGCCACAGUGCCCCCUGGUGAACAAGUCUGCAAGAUUCCUGGUUAGGCUCAAAUAUUAGGUGUAAACAACAGGUGCACAAUGGCGAUAUUGCAAGUCCCAACAUCCCCCCGUCAGCAAUUGAACAACUACCCAGCCACCUGACCUCCCUGCUUCUAACCUCCCCAUCCCUCCUGACAUCAAUCGCUGAAGCCAGAGUAAACUAUGGAAGGCUUCAAUCUAACUCAGACAUCCUCCUCUUCCAAACAAACCAAAAUCUGACUCACCCCUCAAGGGCUCCCGCCACCUACAGGGUCCAGCCCAGGCACUCAGGAAGCCCUGAGAUCUGGCCCCACCCACCUCUCAGCUGCCUGCCUCCCACUGUGCUCCCUCACACGCUGUGGCUGCCUGGAGUGGCAGCAGUCCCUUUUCACUGACAGCAGCAAGUCUGUGACCAACCCCUCCUGCUCGGAGCUCCCCAGUUCCCCCACUGUCCAACCAUUACUGGUUUUCAUGAAGGUCCCUGAGGGCCAAGACUGAGCUUUUGGCCCCAGAGCCAUGUGGUAUCUGGCAAUGUGGGUAGUAGGUACUGAGAAGGUUUGCUGAAUAAGUGUGAAUAAAUAAAUGAUGCAGUGCUUUCACC